Lolium rigidum is the source of this 153-nucleotide long non-coding RNA. RefSeq lists it as uncharacterized. The transcript is spliced from 3 exons. NCBI's taxonomy places the organism in Eukaryota, Viridiplantae, Streptophyta, Magnoliopsida, Poales, Poaceae. The record is from RefSeq and is a predicted model, not a curated record.
ACUAUGAAGGAAUUUUUAUCGAUGGUUCGAGAGUGUGGAGUCAGUGAAGGCAUUGAUCUCAUGUUUACAGCGGCCAAGUUUGCCGUGAAAAGGGAGCAUAGGGAGUUGUUGGCAGCCUUUGAAACACUUGGAGGACGGUUUGAUUAUCUCGAG